RNAcentral lists this transfer RNA (69 nucleotides) under Podarcis lilfordi (Lilford's wall lizard). Its description in RNAcentral is "tRNA.Lys". The stretch from base 4 to 61 matches the Rfam family "tRNA", at positions 8 to 63 of the family's 71-position model. Rfam says of the family: Transfer RNA (tRNA) molecules are approximately 80 nucleotides in length. Lineage: Eukaryota; Metazoa; Chordata; Lepidosauria; Squamata; Lacertidae. The record is from RNAcentral.
GGAUAGCUCAGUCGGUAGGGCAUGAGACUCUUAGUCUCAGGGUUGUGGGUUCGAGCCCCAUGUGGGGCA